This 65-nucleotide transfer RNA is filed under the name Hoplopleura kitti. RNAcentral describes it as "tRNA-Leu". The record is from RNAcentral. Lineage: Eukaryota; Metazoa; Arthropoda; Insecta; Psocodea; Hoplopleuridae.
ACUAAGUUGGCAGAGUAAAAGUGCGAUAAAUUUAGAAUUUAUUUACGGUGUUCUACCACUUAGUA